AAAACAUCGUAAUUUCUAGGAUACAAAAUCGCCGCAUGUGCUGACCACUCCAUUUAGGUGAGUCGAUUUCUAAAACCGAAACACCCCAUUAAUUCCCGACAAUAUUUUCUUAGGCUUGACAAAGAACAAGAUAGCAAUGCAGUCUUUGUUAUUGUAGUUUAUGAAUGGUGAGAACCUCCAUGAUUCUUGCAAUUCGAAUUCAAAUUGACCUAGGAACGAACGAUCAUACGACGAGCAAGGUGUGCACUAGUACGGUGUACCGUGUGCAGUUGCAGAAACAGCCGGAGUCGAGCACUGGCAGUACCGAUGGCAC
This 313-nucleotide long non-coding RNA is filed under the name Setaria italica (foxtail millet). Its description in RNAcentral is "long non-coding RNA (SITA_LNC006640)". The record is from RNAcentral. Lineage: Eukaryota; Viridiplantae; Streptophyta; Magnoliopsida; Poales; Poaceae.